Long non-coding RNA from Fundulus heteroclitus (mummichog), 817 nucleotides. RefSeq lists it as uncharacterized. NCBI's taxonomy places the organism in Eukaryota, Metazoa, Chordata, Actinopteri, Cyprinodontiformes, Fundulidae. The transcript has 2 exons. The record is from RefSeq and is a predicted model, not a curated record.
AGCCCAUCGCGUCGGAGCUGAGCAGCCUCCUUUCAUUAUUUUGCAUAGGGGAAGUGGCAGAGAGGGAAACGUUUCGUCCAACAUGCAGCCCAUGACUGUUCCUGCAUCUUCCCAUGCCUCACAUGGACCGAUGAGAAAGCUGCAAGUAUGACACAGAAAGAGGGAAGAACCAGGAAGUAAAAUAAGCCUGAGAGGUUCAUCACCUGUACUGACAGAACAGACCCUUGGGUGAACCAACUCUCUUUCGCCGGAGUUUACACAUAAACACAUCCAUCAUGCAGGUGGAAAUACGGGCCUGGGAAGAGGGUAAAUAAAUAUCCCUGCAAUGGGGCCCUGAACAUUUUGCAAACAGUGGAAUCUUUCACCCAAACUUGGACUUGAACAUUGUGUGGAUAAAAAUAACUUCCUGUUAACAAUUAAAGCGGAAUCUUUCUCUGUGAAAUGUGUGAAAGGAGUGUACUUUUUCAACUUUUAGGGAUGGAAUGAAGGACAGACUCCUGUAACCCCACAUAUCACAGCAUGUAAAAAAGAGGCAUACUUUACCUCUUCUUUGAAAUAUGUUUUAAAUUGUGAAAGUUCUUUACACCCGUGGAAAUAUUCUGUAUUGCUAUAAAACCCAAAAUACUGGACAUCAUACUAUGAUGUCUGUGUAUACAGCUAGGAAUAGUCCAACAGCUGGUCUAGAUGUUGCCGGUUCAGUCUUCAAGACAACAAGAACUUCUCACAUAACCCAAGUCCUUGUACUUUAAAGAGAACGCUUAUUAUUGUUUUAUUGGGUGCUGUAACCCUUCCUGGUUAAAUAAAGGUUAAAUUGUCA